RNAcentral lists this ribosomal RNA (613 nucleotides) under Apilactobacillus kunkeei. RNAcentral's name for it is "bacterial SSU rRNA". It matches the Rfam family "Bacterial small subunit ribosomal RNA", at positions 93 to 692 of the family's 1533-position model. Lineage: Bacteria; Bacillati; Bacillota; Bacilli; Lactobacillales; Lactobacillaceae. The record is from RNAcentral.
GAGUGGCGAACUGGUNAGUAACACGUGGGUAACCUGCCCCGAAGCGGGGGAUAACAUUUGGAAACAAAUGCUAAUACCGCAUAAUUAGUCAGAACCGCAUGGUUCCGACUUGAAAGAUGGCUCUGCUAUCACUUCGGGAUGGACCCGCGCCGUAUUAGUUAGUUGGUGAGAUAAAAGCCCACCAAGACGAUGAUACGUAGCCGACCUGAGAGGGUAAUCGGCCACAUUGGGACUGAGACACGGCCCAGACUCCUACGGGAGGCAGCAGUAGGGAAUCUUCCACAAUGGACGAAAGUCUGAUGGAGCAACGCCGCGUGAGUGAUGAAGGGUUUCGGCUCGUAAAACUCUGUUGUUAAAGAAGAACAAGCAUGAGAGUAACUGUUCAUGCUUUGACGGUAUUUAACCAGAAAGCCACGGCUAACUACGUGCCAGCAGCCGCGGUAAUACGUAGGUGGCAAGCGUUGUCCGGAUUUAUUGGGCGUAAAGCGAGCGCAGGCGGUUUUGUAAGUCUGCUGUGAAAGCCCUCAGCUCAACUGAGGAAGUGCAGUGGAAACUACAAAACUUGAGUACAGAAGAGGAAAGUGGAACUCCAUGUGUAGCGGUGAAAUGCGUA